RNAcentral lists this ribosomal RNA (216 nucleotides) under Glomeromycotina sp. RNAcentral's name for it is "partial small subunit ribosomal RNA". The stretch from base 40 to 216 matches the Rfam family "Eukaryotic small subunit ribosomal RNA", at positions 686 to 864 of the family's 1831-position model. The record is from RNAcentral. Lineage: Eukaryota; Fungi; Glomeromycota.
GGGUCAGUAGGUUGGUCGUGCCACCGGUACGUACUGGUCUCACUGAUUCCUCCUUCCUGAAGAACCGUAAUGCCAUUAAUUUGGUGUUGCGGGGAAACAGGACUGUUACUUUGAAAAAAUUAGAGUGUUUAAGGCAAGCUAACGCUUGAAUACAUUAGCAUAGAAUAAUGAAAUAGGACGAUCGAUCCUAUUUUGUUGGUUUCUAGGAUUGACGUA